Molecule: ribosomal RNA, 403 nt
Filed under: bacterium
Lineage: Bacteria
Description: partial 16S ribosomal RNA
Rfam family: Bacterial small subunit ribosomal RNA
Source: RNAcentral
UGGGGAAUAUUGCACAAUGGAGGGAACUCUGAUGCAGCGACGCCGCGAGAACGAAGAAGGCUUUCGAGUCGUAAAGUUCUUUUAUAUGGGAAGAUAAUGACGGUACCAUAAGAAAAAGCCCCGGCUAACUACGUGCCAGCAGCCGCGGUAAUACGUAGGGGGCUAGCGUUGUCCGGAAUCACUGGGCGUAAAGGGUUCGCAGGCGGAAAUGCAAGUCAGGUGUAAAAGGCAGUAGCUUAACUACUGUAAGCAUUUGAAACUGCAUAUCUUGAGAAGAGUAGAGGUAAGUGGAAUUUUUAGUGUAGCGGUGAAAUGCGUAGAUAUUAAAAAGAAUACCGGUGGCGAAGGCGGCUUACUGGGCUCAUUCUGACGCUGAGGAACGAAAGCGUGGGUAGCAAACAGG